This 833-nucleotide ribosomal RNA is filed under the name uncultured Entoloma. RNAcentral's name for it is "eukaryotic LSU rRNA". The stretch from base 206 to 359 matches the Rfam family "5.8S ribosomal RNA". The record is from RNAcentral. Lineage: Eukaryota; Fungi; Basidiomycota; Agaricomycetes; Agaricales; Entolomataceae.
UGCUGGCUCUCAGGAGCAUGUGCACGCUCAUUCCAUUUUUACCCACCUGUGCACACACUGUAGGCUUGAAUGAACUUUUCGAGGAAACUCGGUUUGAGAACUGCUAGAAGCUGUUCUUGCAUUCCAGGUCUAUGUUUUAAACAUAUACUCUAUAACAAGUUCCAGAAUGUUAAUUAUAGGCCUUCUGUGCCUUUAAACCUAAUACAACUUUCAACAACGGAUCUCUUGGCUCUCGCAUCGAUGAAGAACGCAGCGAAAUGCGAUAAGUAAUGUGAAUUGCAGAAUUCAGUGAAUCAUCGAAUCUUUGAACGCACCUUGCGCUCCUUGGUAUUCCGAGGAGCAUGCCUGUUUGAGUGUCAUGAAAUUCUCAACCUCUCUGGCUUUUAUUAGCUUGGUCAGGCUUGGAUUGUGGGAGUUGCUGGCUUCUCUUGGAGAUCAGCUCUUCUUAAAUGCAUUAGCAAAAUUCUUGCUGAACAUCUUUGGUAUGAUAAUUAUCUAUACCAUUGAGACACAGCUUUUUCCACUUUGUUCGGAUUAGGCUCCUCUUGGAUCCAUCCAAGUGUUCGAUUCAACCGCUCUGAAGCACUAGCUUAGGCACAGAUGUUAACUCAUCUGAUGGUGUUACAUACUUCAGGUUGACGAAGCGAGGCGUUCUUCGGAGCGCUCACGAGAGCAAGCACUUUAUCAAUCUCUUGUAGGGGUUGUUUGUGCACUGUCAUAUUCCUGUACCUACCCUAGCUACUAUGUGGCUUUGAUGGGUCUGGUCAAACCAUGACCUGAACAUAUCCUUAGUGGAAGGAAAUUUGCUUCUAAUAUUGUUUCUAGGAACAAAC